CAUGCAAGUCGAACGGAGAUUACAGGCGGAAGUUUUCGGAUGGAAGCUUGUAAACUUAGUGGCGGACGGGUGAGUAACACGUGAGCAACCUGCCUAUCAGAGGGGGAUAACGAUUGGAAACGAUCGCUAAUACCGCAUGACAUAGCGGAAUCGCAUGGUUCUGUUAUCAAAGAUUUUAUCGCUGAUAGAUGGGCUCGCGUCCGAUUAGAUAGUUGGUGGGGUAACGGCCUACCAAGUCGACGAUCGGUAGCCGGACUGAGAGGUCGAACGGCCACAUUGGGACUGAGACACGGCCCAGACUCCUACGGGAGGCAGCAGUGGGGGAUAUUGCACAAUGGGGGAAACCCUGAUGCAGCGACGCCGCGUGAGGGAAGACGGUCCUCUGGAUUGUAAACCUCUGUCUUCGGGGACGAAACGAGACGGUACCCGAGGAGGAAGCCACGGCUAACUACGUGCCAGCAGCCGCGGUAAUACGUAGGUGGCAAGCGUUGUCCGGAAUUACUGGGUGUAAAGGGAGCGUAGGCGGGCAGGCAAGUCAGGCGUGAAAUAUAUCGGCUCAACCGGUAACGGCGCUUGAAACUGCAGGUCUUGAGUGAAGUAGAGGUUGGCGGAAUUCCUAGUGUAGCGGUGAAAUGCGUAGAUAUUAGGAGGAACACCAGUGGCGAAGGCGGCCAACUGGGCUUUUACUGACGCUGAGGCUCGAAAGUGUGGGGAGCAAACAGGAUUAGAUACCCUGGUAGUCCACACCGUAAACGAUGAUUACUAGGUGUGGGGGGACUGACCCCUUCCGUGCCGGAGUU
This 800-nucleotide ribosomal RNA is filed under the name uncultured bacterium. RNAcentral's name for it is "bacterial SSU rRNA". It matches the Rfam family "Bacterial small subunit ribosomal RNA", at positions 54 to 853 of the family's 1533-position model. The record is from RNAcentral.